UAAAAGAGAAAUACAGGCGUGAAGCCCCAAAACCAGACCUCCAGGUGGGUGGGACAAGGAUGCAGCCCAAGUACCCAAAUUACUGUUAUCCAGUAGUCCUGGAGUAUCCUGGCCAGAGAACGUGUGGAGGAAGCUGGGAAGUGCACUCAUUUGCAAAGCUGACAAGAUUCCAGCUACCUCUAGUGAUUUGCCUCAGCCCCACCAAUUAAACAGGAAUGCUCUGGCUGAGGUUGCAUCCGAUACUGCCUUGCACCUAAUCUUCACCAGGGUAGGUCAACAUCUGCUGUCCACUGCUAUAUUUUUCUUUUGCAAUAGAACGAGUGAGUGUGAGACUGGCCUGCAUGGAUAGUCCCACCGCUCCUAUUACUGGAUCAAAAUGGAUCACUGCUUUUUUAUAUAUAUUAUUUUCCUCCAUCUAAUACAUUAUUUUAGAAUAUAAAUUCAGAAUAAUAUAAACUUUAACUUACUAAUUUCAAUGUUCUGAUCUUUCUCCCUCCCUCCAUUUCCCUUCCUGCCUUCUGCAUUUUUCAAUAGCUUAUUACCUGCCAUAGAAACCACUGUUUUCUUUCAUAAUUUUUAUCUGACUUUGGACAGGCAGAUAUAUCUAGCCACUGUGACCAUCUCAAGAACUGAUUUUUUUCAUUCAUAUAAAGCUUUAACACUAAAAAAAAGAUACAGUCCAAAAGACAGCUACUAUUACUUAAACUGAAGUGCAGCUUGUAACUGUGACAUUUCAUCAAUUUGUAAAGAUAUGAGCAUUCAAAAAUUAAGUUCAAAAUAAAAUACCAAAAUACAAAAGUCCUGAAUUCA
This 810-nucleotide long non-coding RNA is filed under the name Numida meleagris (helmeted guineafowl). Its description in RNAcentral is "lncRNA (ENSNMEG00000008816.1)". The record is from RNAcentral. Lineage: Eukaryota; Metazoa; Chordata; Aves; Galliformes; Numididae.